CACGUAGUUAGCCGGAGCUUUCUUCACAGGUACAGCCUUUUUUCUUCCCUGUGGACAAUAGUUUACAAUCCGAAAACCUUCUUCCUAUACGCGGCGUCACUGCGUCAGAGUUUCCUCCAUUGCGCAAUAUUCCCGACUGCUGCCUCCCGUAGGAGUCUGGGCCGUAUCUCAGUCCCAAUGUGGCCGUUCAACCUCUCAGUCCGGCUACUGAUCGUCGCCUUGGUAGGCCGUUACCCCACCAACUAGCUAAUCAGACGCAAGCUCAUCUAUCAUCGGAUUGCUCCUUUCCCACUAUUAUCAUGCGAUAAUUAUGGCAUAUGCGGUAUUAGCAAUGAUUUCUCACUGUUACUUCCCCUCUGAUAGGCAGUAUUUCUUACGUUGUUACUCACCUAGUCCCGCCAACUAACCGCUCCUCUUGCAAGCAAGUAGGUUAAGUUCGUUCGACUUGCUAUGUUCUUAUGUGCCGCCGCCAGUCGUUUUAUCCGUGACGCCGAGGACUACCUAAA
Molecule: ribosomal RNA, 506 nt
Filed under: uncultured Eubacteriales bacterium
Lineage: Bacteria; Bacillati; Bacillota; Clostridia; Eubacteriales
Description: uncultured Clostridiales bacterium partial 16S ribosomal RNA
Source: RNAcentral